CAGCCGCCGCGGUAACACGAAGGGUGCAAGCGUUACUCGGAAUUACUGGGCGUAAAGCGUGCGUAGGUGGUGGUUUAAGUCCGUUGUGAAAGCCCUGGGCUCAACCUGGGAAUUGCAGUGGAUACUGGGUCACUAGAGUGUGGUAGAGGAUAGUGGAAUUUCCGGUGUAGCAGUGAAAUGCGUAGAGAUCGAGAGGAACAUCAGUGGCGAAGGCGGCCAUCUGGGACAACACUGACGCUGAGGCACGAAAGCGUGGGGAGCAAACAGGAUUAGAUACCCCAGUAGUCCCUGUCUCUUAUAC
This 301-nucleotide ribosomal RNA is filed under the name uncultured bacterium. RNAcentral describes it as "partial 16S ribosomal RNA". It matches the Rfam family "Bacterial small subunit ribosomal RNA", at positions 509 to 807 of the family's 1533-position model. The record is from RNAcentral.